CGGACGAACGCUGGCGGCGUGCCUAACACAUGCAAGUCGAGCGGGGUUGAGGCGAGAGGUAACUCGAACUUCUACCUAGCGGCGGACGGGUGAGUAACGCGUGGGCAACCUGCCUCAAGGUUUGGGAUAACAGCCCGAAAGGGCUGCUAAUACCGGAUAUGCCUAUGGCCUCGCAUGGGGCUAUGAGCAAAGGGGAAACCCGCCUUGAGAUGGGCCCGCGUCCCAUCAGCUAGUUGGUGAGGUAACAGCUCACCAAGGCGACGACGGGUAGCCGGCCUGAGAGGGUGACCGGCCACACUGGGACUGAGACACGGCCCAGACUCCUACGGGGGGCAGCAGUGGGGGAUCUUGCACAAUGGGCGAAAGCCUGAUGCAGCGACGCCGCGUGAAGGAUGAAGGUCUUCGGAUUGUAAACUUCUAUCAGCAGGGAAGAAAGGGCCUAUGGCCUAUGACGGUACCUGACUAAGAAGCCCCGGCUAACUACGUG
RNAcentral lists this ribosomal RNA (487 nucleotides) under uncultured bacterium. Its description in RNAcentral is "bacterial SSU rRNA". It matches the Rfam family "Bacterial small subunit ribosomal RNA", at positions 27 to 507 of the family's 1533-position model. The record is from RNAcentral.